AGCUCCAAUAGCGUAUAUUAAAGUUGUUGCAGUUAAAAAGCUCGUAGUUGAACUUCUGGGAGUCACGUCUGUGGCAUUGUCGCGGUUCGUGGCUUUCAUCCGCUUGAGAACCACGUACGUCCUUGAGUGGUCGGCGUGGGAAUCAGGCCUUUUACUGUGAAAAAAUCAGAGUGUUCAAGGCAGGCAAGCGCCCUGAAUACACAAGCAUGGAAUAAUAGAAUAGGACUAGUGUCUAUUUUGUUGGUUAUUGGACAUUAGUAAUGAUUAAUAGGGACAGUUGGGGGCAUUAGUAUUUAAUAGUCAGAGGUGAAAUUCUUGGAUUUAUUAAAGGCUAACUUAUGCGAAAGCAUUUGCCAAGGAUGUUUUCA
RNAcentral lists this ribosomal RNA (368 nucleotides) under uncultured eukaryote. RNAcentral describes it as "SSU rRNA". It matches the Rfam family "Eukaryotic small subunit ribosomal RNA", at positions 587 to 972 of the family's 1831-position model. The record is from RNAcentral.